Molecule: ribosomal RNA, 497 nt
Filed under: uncultured bacterium
Lineage: Bacteria
Description: partial 16S ribosomal RNA
Rfam family: Bacterial small subunit ribosomal RNA
Source: RNAcentral
GAUGAACGCUGGCGGCGUGCCUAAUACAUGCAAGUCGAGCGAACCGAUGAGGAGCUUGCUCCUCUGACGUUAGCGGCGGACGGGUGAGUAACACGUGGAUAACCUACCUAUAAGACUGGGAUAACUUCGGGAAACCGGAGCUAAUACCGGAUAAUCUAUUGAACCGCAUGGUUCAAUAGUGAAAGACGGUUUUGCUGUCACUUAUAGAUGGAUCCGCGCCGCAUUAGCUAGUUGGUAAGGUAACGGCUUACCAAGGCAACGAUGCGUAGCCGACCUGAGAGGGUGAUCGGCCACACUGGAACUAAGACACGGUCCAGACUCCUACGGGAGGCAGCAGUAGGGAAUCUUCCGCAAUGGGCGAAAGCCUGACGGAGCAACGCCGCGUGAGUGAUGAAGGUCUGCGGAUCGUAAAACUCUGUUAUUAGGGAAGAACAAAUGUGUAAGUAACUAUGCACGUCUUGACGGUACCUAAUCAGAAAGCCACGGCUAACUACGUG